This 248-nucleotide ribosomal RNA is filed under the name Codringtonia eucineta. Its description in RNAcentral is "partial large subunit ribosomal RNA". It matches the Rfam family "Bacterial large subunit ribosomal RNA", at positions 2077 to 2621 of the family's 2925-position model. Lineage: Eukaryota; Metazoa; Mollusca; Gastropoda; Stylommatophora; Helicidae. The record is from RNAcentral.
AACAAAAUUAAAAAAGACGAGAAGACCCUAGAAACUUAUAGUUGAUUUUGCUGGGGCGGCAGAAUUGCAUAUAACCAAUUUUAAUUAACGUGAAGCGACGCANAAAGAAAAAGUUACUCUAGGGAUAACAGCAUAAUUUUAAUAGUUUGUGACCUCGAUGUUGGACUAGGGAUUCUACCCCCUAGAAGGGAGUAGUUAUGGCUCUGUUCGAGCUAAGAGCCCCUACGUGAUCUGAGUUCAAACCGGAC